Molecule: non-coding RNA, 63 nt
Filed under: bovine gut metagenome
Description: Glycine riboswitch
Rfam family: Glycine riboswitch aptamer
About the family: This family represents the bacterial glycine riboswitch. Glycine riboswitches usually consist of two metabolite-binding aptamers domains with similar structures in tandem.
Source: RNAcentral
GUUCGAGAGAGACCUUUUACAGGCGCCGAAGGGGCAAAAACUCUCAGGCAAAAGUAUCGAAUC